GCAGGUGACUUGUUUGACAUCGGUUUGGCAGGUGCCGAGGGAGGAGUUGUGCAGGGUGAUGGAGGACGGCGCUGUCAGCAGGUGGCGGGCGAGCCUCAAGAUGGCAACCGUAUCUGAUGGAGGCCAGGCAGGUGCCGCACGCAGGCUUCGGAGGGGAGACGCCGCAUGGCGACGAGAGGUCCGAGAGGUUGUGCGCCGGCUGCCCUUGGGCCUGGAUGCGCGUUUGAGGGGCCGCAGGGGAUGGCGUUCGUCCUCGUCCGGAAUGGGCACGGAGCAGCCGGGUGAGCG
Non-coding RNA from Phalacrocorax carbo (great cormorant), 288 nucleotides. The record is from RefSeq and is a predicted model, not a curated record. Lineage: Eukaryota; Metazoa; Chordata; Aves; Suliformes; Phalacrocoracidae.